Molecule: long non-coding RNA, 898 nt
Filed under: Bemisia tabaci
Lineage: Eukaryota; Metazoa; Arthropoda; Insecta; Hemiptera; Aleyrodidae
Description: lncRNA ENSSSA2NGG004126
Source: RNAcentral
CGACAACUGCCUUGCUUGCCCAGUAAGUUUGGGCACAUAUGUACAGGAUGUCACGUCUUAUAAAAUGUUGUAUUUUCUCUUUUAGGUGGACUAUCUUACAUAUGCAGCUCGAUGCGGCAUGGAACCAAAUCCCACACUCUUAGAAGUUAUGAAAACCGAAUUUUUAUUUCAUACCGGAUCCUAAAAUUGAUUAUUACGCUUUAUUUAUGUUCGAUCCUGAUGCACCGAAUCCAGAAGAACCUAUCUUCAGCCCAAUACUCCAUUACGCUUCCUGCAAUAUUCUGAAGAACAAGACAGACACAGGCACAACGCUCGCUGAUUAUCUACUACCUACGCCUUUAUCCGUAGCGCCUCACAGAUACAUAACUUUCGUGUUUAAACAGAAAGACAUUUUACCGGUGGAGCUAUGUUUUCAAGGAAGAUACUCUUUGAAUCGAUUCUUCUUUCCAAUGGAGAAAACGAUAACUGAACUGAACUUAACAUAUUACGGCGUCCAAUUCUAUAGUGUAGGCUUAGCAUAAUAAUGAAUGAAUGUUUUACCUAAGGUGCAUUUUAAUGAUACAUACAAGUACAUAGAAUCUUAGGAAUUGAAUGCAUUUCGAUAAAUGGUUUGGAAAAUUUCAUAAGGAAUAGCUAUAAUAAGCACACAUUGAAAGUUGUAUUGCGCUCAGGAAAAAAUCACGAUGUUUUGACAAAUCAUCUUUAUGCAGCUUUAUUUGUAUAAUUACACACCGUUAAAGGUCCACAUAAACAUACAAAUAAAAAUUAUUAAGGUUGUGCUGCCAACAUCAAUGAACUUUCCAAACAUCAGUGCGCUGCGCUCAGCCUUUGUUGAUAUAUCGAAUAAUUUCACCCUCGCACAAAAAUUUUCAUUCUUAAAUUCCUAUAUAUUAUCUAU